Mus musculus (house mouse) is the source of this 73-nucleotide non-coding RNA. The record is from Rfam. Lineage: Eukaryota; Metazoa; Chordata; Mammalia; Rodentia; Muridae.
AGCAUUGGAUCUUAGUUGGUCUAGUGCAUGCCUCGCAAGCAUAAGGUCCUGGGUUCGAUCCCCAGCACUUCGU